AUGGUGUCAGAACUCAUCAACUCGGUCACCUCUUCCUGGGAUGUCGAUGUGCUUGAAACACACCUCUAUGCAAUGGACAAGGAAGCAAUCCUCAACAUCCCUCUCAGCUCUCGAGUCCACGACAAUUUCUGGGCUUGGCAUUAUGAACGCAAGGGCGUUUUCACGAUCGCCGGUCCUAGUCUAGACUAUGGGGUGUCGCAGUUCCCUCAAAAGUACGGGUCUUCACCUGGAGGUUGGCCAAGAGCUCGAUCCCAACCGGAGAGGUCCGAAAACACCGAAUUUCUAGCAGAGCUCGAGAUGAUGCCAUACAAGAAACCACAUCCCAAGGACCUACAUGUAACUUCAGGGGACCUGCAUGUGACUAGAAGUAGCCAGGGGGAUUCACCUUCACAUGCGUGGCUCCCGCCUGAGCACCAUGAUGUUAAACUGAAUGUUGAUGCAUACUUUUCGAAGAUCGGAGACCACGCAGCUGCAGUAGUGAUCUGCAGGGACAAACGAGGAAACUACUUGGGUGCCUCGUCCAUCAUCUAUGAAGGCCGCCUCGACCCAACUAUACUCGAAGCACAGGCAUGUUGCGAGGCCCUCUCUCUCGCCUUGGAUUUGCAGGGUGCAGUUGCUCAAAAAAAUUGGCCUUGCCUAAUCUACCUGGGACCUACGCUAUGGGUUAAUGGAGAACUUACUAAUCCAGUUGUACCCUCUAGAGGUAUCCAACAAGGUGCCCUUAUUUGUUCCUCUUGUGUACUGAAGGGUUCCGGGCAGUUGGUCAACAAGGAUAAAUCUUCUUUGUUCUUUGGGAAGCAUUGUCCGGAGCAUGUCAAACAGCGAGUUAAAAAUCUGUUGGGGAUCUCAAAUGAAGCUUUAAAUGACUACUAUCUUGAAGUUCGUCAGAUUAUUGCUGAUGAGUGGUGGGGCCGUGAAGAUGGGAAAAGGAAAUUGCAUUGGUGCUCUUGGGAGUGGCUUACUACACCUAAGGCGCUUGGUGGUAUGGGCUUCCGUGACAUGGCCCUUUUCAAUCUUGCUAUCCUUGCCAAACAAGGAUGGAGGUUGUUGACAGACCCGUCUUCACUAUGUGCUCGCGUUUUGAAAUGCCGGUAUUUCCAACAUCCAAUUUCUGGAACACAAUGGCACCGAGAAGACGCUGAAGCUAAUCAAAAUCAGCAGCAAACGGCAGUCACCGCUCUCAUGACAUUUCACGCGUGCGACAUGAACAACAAGCGUCAAACACCUCGCUGCAUACAGAAUCAAAGGACACAGGAGGGAAAACAGGCGCACCGUCGACGUUGUCCUCCUCGUCCCCGGACUCCCAGUGAUGGGGCUACCCCAGUGAAGGGCGGCUCCGGUGGCGAAGGGCAUGGCGGGCGGCUCCAGCGGCGAAGGGCGUGGCUGGUGGCUCAGGCGGCUAACGGCUGCGAGAGGAACGGUGGGGCGGCGAACGGCGCGAGAGGAGGAGGGGGCGAGAGGUCGAGAUCGCGCGGGCGGGGCGAGAGGACAUGGGGGCUUGUGCUGCCAAGUUCUCGUAUGAAAAAACAGAAUGCUAGAAUUAACUUCCUGGAUAUAAUUGGGAGAAAAGGACAUGUCGCCAUUGUUACCAGUCAUCAUGUUUGUCUCCAAUUGCACUAUCAAUCAACAAAUGGUUGCCUUUUGUUCCUUCUCAGUGAAGGAAACGAUCUCAGUUUUGAAGACAAAAGUAACAUGCCAACAAUACCAAACACAAGUGCUACUACAUUCUACCUUAUAAGAAUGAACAACAAAUGGUUGGAAAAUAGUGAUUUAGCGCUCACAAUUCACAAUGAAGACAUGACUACACGAACAAUCCAUUCACAACUUGGGAGUUUUAUUUGGUUCUGGCUUAUUCUAGAUUACAACAUUUGGGCUAUGUCACUAUUGUACUUGCUCGAAUCUGUAGCCUGCUUCUCUUCUCUCUCCUCUUCAAACGCGUGCCUCACCCACACUAUCCCGACGGGCCCCGAGACCACCACAAGCGGCUCCACCCGCAUUGUUCGGCACUGUUGUGGUUAUGGUGGUGACGGGGUUGAGCUGCCCUGCAUUGUUGUAUCCCAUGCUUACUGCAUGCUUGUACACCCUGCCUGA
RNAcentral lists this ribosomal RNA (2091 nucleotides) under Triticum aestivum (bread wheat). RNAcentral's name for it is "partial small subunit ribosomal RNA". The record is from RNAcentral. Lineage: Eukaryota; Viridiplantae; Streptophyta; Magnoliopsida; Poales; Poaceae.